UCCUGACUUGGGGUGGCGAAACCCUUCUGAAAGAGAAAUGAAAUGGUGAGAGUGUGUGGACAAGUGCAUGUGCUUCUGCUUUUCCACAGACAGGUACCCAGUGCUGGAGCGGACGGCCCUGUUCAACUAUUUCAAGUUUUAAAGAACAGCAGUCGGGUGGUGUAGUUGACAGAUGCCCCCUCCAGCACCGUUUAGAUGUGUGAGACAAGAGUGAACGAAUCCAGGCCUUACAUGAGAGAUGAAGUCGGUGCUGUCGGAGCUGAAGAGGUCGAGGCUGCGCGUCCCGUACAGUAAGCCCGGCUCUCUGGAGCUCUGAGCGCUCAGGGUGUCGAAGAUCUCCCCGAGCAGGUCCAUCUCCUCCGGGUCAGCCAAGAGAGAAAGAUCUUCGUCUUCCUGUAUGUCGCUGGUGCCAGAACACUGCUCAGGACUUUCUGUUACACUGCAAAGGGAGAUGUGUUUUAAAGAGACACAUUAAACGGCAAAGCUUCCAUGCAUCUGUUCCCUCUCCUCUUACCUGUCCUCAUAGGUGUUGUUGUCGUCCUGUGUCUGUUGCUCCGUGUCCGGAUGGCUGGGGUGUUUGCGCGCCGGCCGCCGUGGUCGAGACUGAAAAACAAAGCAGCAUAGAAAGUGUAGAAAAAAAACAAAGCAUAUUUAGAAAGUAAAGUGCAUAUGCUAUACUGUGGUUGAACACAAGGUGGAGCCAAACUGCUACAAUUUUCACACUUAGGUGGACUGGAUGAUUUGUUUUUUGUUUUUGUUUUUUUAGGUCUUUUGAAAGAAAAAAAUGGACAUUUUCCCAAGUUGCUACCUUUUAAUGCAAUAAAAUAUUAAAAAUA
Long non-coding RNA from Ctenopharyngodon idella (grass carp), 836 nucleotides. RefSeq lists it as uncharacterized. The record is from RefSeq and is a predicted model, not a curated record. The transcript has 2 exons. NCBI's taxonomy places the organism in Eukaryota, Metazoa, Chordata, Actinopteri, Cypriniformes, Xenocyprididae.